This is a long non-coding RNA of Quercus robur (English oak), 266 nucleotides long. RefSeq lists it as uncharacterized. The transcript is spliced from 2 exons. NCBI's taxonomy places the organism in Eukaryota, Viridiplantae, Streptophyta, Magnoliopsida, Fagales, Fagaceae. The record is from RefSeq and is a predicted model, not a curated record.
GAGACAGUCAAAGGUGGCAUAUCAAAGUAUUUUGUACGAACAAUCUGAAAGACAGGUACAUGGGGUGAGUGCAAAUGUGUGCUGGAGAAGAACAGCUCAUCUAGGUACCAAGAGAAGGGGUUAGUGCAAAACUGCAAAUACCUCCAAAUUCCUGCCCUGCAUAAUCAACUUCACUGAAGAGAGUGGACCAUCCCAAGACAUUCGGACAGAGAGUGAAGCAUUAUUGCCAGGAUGGCUUUUUCUGGGUGAGAGGGAAAUGGGUUUAA